RNAcentral lists this ribosomal RNA (501 nucleotides) under uncultured bacterium. RNAcentral's name for it is "partial 16S ribosomal RNA". It matches the Rfam family "Bacterial small subunit ribosomal RNA", at positions 30 to 523 of the family's 1533-position model. The record is from RNAcentral.
AUUGAACGCUGGCGGCAGGCUUAACACAUGCAAGUCGAGCGGGGGAAGGUAGCUUGCUACCGGACCUAGCGGCGGACGGGUGAGUAAUGCUUAGGAAUCUGCCUAUUAGUGGGGGACAACAUCUCGAAAGGGAUGCUAAUACCGCAUACGUCCUACGGGAGAAAGCAGGGGAUCUUCGGACCUUGCGCUAAUAGAUGAGCCUAAGUCGGAUUAGCUAGUUGGGGGGGUAAAGGCCUACCAAGGCGACGAUCUGUAGCGGGUCUGAGAGGAUGAUCCGCCACACGGGGACUGAGACACGGCCCAGACUCCUACGGGAGGCAGCAGUGGGGAAUAUUGGACAAUGGGGGGAACCCUGAUCCAGCCAUGCCGCGUGUGUGAAGAAGGCCUUAUGGUUGUAAAGCACUUUAAGCGAGGAGGAGGCUACUCUAGUUAAUACCUAGGGAUAGUGGACGUUACUCGCAGAAUAAGCACCGGCUAACUCUGUGCCAGCAGCCGCCGCAG